GUGGGGAAUAUUGGACAAUGGGCGAAAGCCUGAUCCAGCCAUGCCGCGUGUGUGAAGAAGGUCUUCGGAUUGUAAAGCACUUUAAGUUGGGAGGAAGGGCAGUAAGUUAAUACCUUGCUGUUUUGACGUUACCGACAGAAUAAGCACCGGCUAACUUCGUGCCAGCAGCCGCGGUAAUACGAAGGGUGCAAGCGUUAAUCGGAAUUACUGGGCGUAAAGCGCGCGUAGGUGGUUUUGUAAGUUGGAGGUGAAAUCCCCGGGCUCAACCUGGGAACUGCCUCCAAAACUGCAUGACUAGAGUACGGUAGAGGGUAGUGGAAUGUCCUGUGUAGCGGUGAAAUGCGUAGAUAUAGGAAGGAACACCAGUGGCGAAGGCGACUACCUGGACUGAUACUGACACUGAGGUGCGAAAGCGUGGGGAGCAAACAGGAUUAGAAACCCUAGUAGUCC
Molecule: ribosomal RNA, 450 nt
Filed under: uncultured bacterium
Lineage: Bacteria
Description: bacterial SSU rRNA
Rfam family: Bacterial small subunit ribosomal RNA
Source: RNAcentral